Mus musculus (house mouse) is the source of this 2146-nucleotide long non-coding RNA. RefSeq annotates it as predicted gene, 51556. The record is from RefSeq and is a predicted model, not a curated record. The transcript has 2 exons. NCBI's taxonomy places the organism in Eukaryota, Metazoa, Chordata, Mammalia, Rodentia, Muridae.
CAGUCGGACCCGAGGGGGUACCCGAGGGGGAAGCCACCAGGAGGGCCGGGUUCCCACGCCUGCCUGCUCGCUCCGGGCUCUCUAGCUUCCCUCGCGCCCGCGCGCAAGCAUCUUAAGGGUGGCGGGGCUCCCCAUCUCUCCCGCGGUGGCCCCCGAAACUGAAAGUUGCAUGGCAGCGGCUGUCAGCGCGCACCGAGGCGCAGGAAACAGGAAGCCGCGCGCACUGCGGCCACGGCCCCUCCCGGCCUCGCACAACAAAACCUUCCAGGGAAUCGGGAGGGGGCGGCGGGGCCGGGGCCCCCAGGUCGCCGCCCGCGGGAAAGUAACUUCACACCCGCGCGAUCCCGCCCGGGGCGCAGCGCCGCCGGCUCCGCGCAGACAAAAGGAGCGAGACGCGCACCGGGCCGGGCGCCCCACGCGGCAGCGCGCACUGAGCGGGCAGCCGAGCAGCGCGCCCCUGUGCGCCCCUACGCGCCCUGGUCUUGGGACCCGAGGACCUGGCGCACGACUCGCUUACCUGAUGAUCAAAGGCUGCCUUUCCGUCCAGCGCCCGGGCAGGUUCGGCCACCUCGGCCGGAGCAGAUCCACAGUGAGGUAAUUGACCAAGGAAGGGCUGGAGCCUCCACGGCGGCCCGGCGUCUUCGCCGCGUGUGUAUUUUCUGCCUUUUGGACUUGAGAUGCAAAUUAAAAAAAAAAAAAAAAAAAGGAGGGGGAGCUGGCGGAGGGAAGAGGGCGGGAGAGCAGAAGAGGAGAGAGAAAAAUAAAGGGGGGCGGUGAGGGUGAUGAAAUUGGGGGGUUAAGGUCUUUAGGGAUUACUCAUUGGAAAGAAAAAGAGACAGGAGAGAGAGAGGAAAAGGGAGAGAAAAAAAAGCACCCCCUAAGACGUGCGAACAGCAAUCUCGCCUCCAUUCAGCCAUUUGAAUGUCAAGGGCGAGGGUCAAGAGACCUGUUUCCAACAGGGUUUCACGUUCAGAACCAGAAGGGAAAAGGAAGGGGGGCGGCGGGAGGGGGCAUCUGGUUGCCAAGGAGAAAUCGGCUUUGUUUUCGUUUCCCCUUAGCUACUGGGUGAGGAGGGGCGGGGUGCGGAGAGGAGGAGGGGGGCGCUCGGCAGGGGUGCUGGGGGGUGGAGAAAAUUAAUACCCAAACAGCCAAGAAGUACCGAGGGGGCAGAUUUCGCCUCGUCAAUGGGAGAGGCAGCGGCGACAAACAAGUCUUGGGCUAGGGACGCUGGUGAGGGCAGGCUCCCCUCCCCCCCUCACCACCAGCACCCCCCCCUUUUUGGUUAUCUCCCCGCCCGGCGUCCCACCACUGACUCAGACGGAGGGGGUGGGGAGGAGGGAGAGGAGGAGGAGGAGGAACUCGCGGGGGCGCAGCCGGCAGGAGCAGGAGAGCGGGAGGCGAGAGCGCGCGGCGGUGGAGAGCCCCUCGAUCAAUUUUCAUGCAAGAAUCAUUAUCGGUAAAUUGGAAAGCUGGCUGCCUGACAGCAGAUUUGUCUCCCCUAAUGAAAGCGAAAGGGAAGGGGCGCAGCGGCGGGCGGCUCCUUCCGUCUGCGCCGCGUCCUCCUGGAGCUCCCGGCUGCGCGCCGCGGUGACGAGAGUUCCACUUGCGACCUGCCCGUGCGCGGCCUCAGAGCCUUACGGAUCAGACCCGCUGCCCAGGGCUCCAGGCGGAUGCUCCCACUUCCGACUGCAGGGUGCUCCCCUCGGCCCGGGAGCCGGCCGUUUGCAAACAGUGGGCGACUGCGGGCGCCGCCGGGGCCCCCUCUGGCUGCCCAACUCCGCGCUCUGGCCGUCGGCCCGCCCUCGCUCCUCCCCACCCACGUCUGACAGCUGCGGGAGCCCGGAGCACGACCUCCCCCCCGCGACCGUGCCCCGGGGAGGCCGGGGCCGCCCUUUGUGCAGCCCGCAGCGGGCUGCGGAGACCGCGCCCGGGAGAGCUAAGGCCGGCGGUUGGCCUCUCUCUUUCCUUUCCUCCCCCCACGCCCUACCCCUUAAAAAAUCCCUGUUGCAAGUGUAAUCAAAUGCUUGAUACCAUCUCCCACACUCUCCUGCACCCGGGCAUUAUCAGAUCCGGGAAGGCAUGCUUCCAGGCAAACAGACCUAAUAAAUGCUAUUACUGGGACUCUGCAAGCCCCGGCUGCACCAUA